AAUCUGCUAAGAAUGAGAAGAUAAAAGAGUUUGCUGGAGAUGCUUCUAAGUAUUGAAAAGGGAAAAAAUAGAAGAAGAAGAAGGAACAGAAAAUUAGACUCUUAUAAAGGAAAAAACACAAGCUAAACUAAAGUGCCCUUUAUCGUGAUGCACGCGGCUGAGGUUGGAACUCCUUUUUGCGAACCCCUAUUUGUGGCUCCAUCUCAGCCAUCAAAGUGAUCUCAAUGGCUGGAGAGAAAAAGAGAGCUUACAAUAGAAAUGUAUGCUGCACUGCCGGUUAGCGCACGUCCUCGAACGCCUUUUCCAAUCCCGCCUUUCUUCCAUCCAAUGGCGCCUGUUUGUAUUUUUUUUCAGACUCCCUCUUGUUCCUCUCCAACAAAUUCUCUCUCUCUCUCUCUCUCAGCUGUUUAUUCUCUGUGUUAGUGGCUAUUGAGUUAGGGUUGAUAACAGUUACUGUUCACAUUUUUCCCAUCUCCUUCGCCUCCUUCACCCACAUAGUACCCAAACACCGACAUCGCCUCCCUCAGACAUCUAUGAAUCCCAAGAAAAUCUUUUAGUUUUUAGAAUUCCAACCUUCAAAUAUAUUUCUUAGAAUUCAAAUUUUAAUUUUAACUAUUUUUAUUUUUUUGUGUUCAUUCUCUCUCACGAUGGCCUUCCUUGCCCGCCAGUCUAGGAGGAAGAGUGACGGGCCUUGGCUCUGUUUUGGGCCUGCUUCCCUGACUGGUUUUGGCGUCGACGGCUCCGUCUCUCUCUCCGGCGCUCUCUUUCUUGCUGUCUCUCGCGCUCUCUGCCCAUGAGAGCCUCCCUUCCUUCCAUAGAGAUGAGUUUGUUCCUCAAAAGGAAGGGCGUUGUCAGUUGAGUACUUGGAAAAUGACAUUAACAUCUUCCAGAGUGUGAAUGAUUGGCGGUGAAUUCUGUGGACAAUCUCUUUGGGAGGACUGGAAUACUAGAAAAGAAACUAUAUCUGAUAUUAUUGAUCUGCCAAAUAAACCGGAAGAAAGACUAACACUUGUGCAGCAGGAGCCUUUAGAGAAAGGGUCAACCAUCACGUAUGUUCCUACUAGAAAAGGAACGUUGAGCAUUGCAAACUAUCUCUGUAGGUGUGGCAUGAAGGCUGCUGCCUAUGAUGUAGUGGUAUGUAUCGUCAGAGUUUCUUACAGGUGUUAGUAUCGCGUAGCACCACGUGUCAUCAGGUUCAUUUUUGUAUCUUUAACUUAAAAAUUCACAAACAAUGAAUAAGAAAUUAAAAAAAAUGCACCGAAAAAAAAAAAAAAAAAACUCCUUGCGACAUUAUCUUCGGCUAUGAUGUGUGAUAAUAAAAUUUUGGCCUUGGGAAAUUUGAAGUAAUUAUUGGAGGAAGAGUUGUUGUAAAGGAGAGAUGAUUUUCAACAUAGUAUUAUUGUUAGCAUCAAAACAAACUUGACUUUGAGAAAUUAUUUGAAUUUUACAUGUCAAAAUUAUAUUUUAAAGCUUAGCCGCGGUAGACAUUAGAGUUUACAGGGAUGAAGCAAUAGACAUUAGAGUUUAUAGGGAUGAAGCAAGUGAAGGAGUUGAGUCUGAUUCAAUCCUUCUCCACUGAUAAUAGCGCUGUCAAUGAGUUGUCAAGCUGCCAUUGUGCUGCUGGUUUAGCAUCAGUGGAUUUUAUUAUUUGGAACUUAUUAACUGAGACCAAGGUAGAGUCUUUUCCUUUUCCUCAGACGGCUUACUGAAAUGAUUUGAAAGUUGUUUGUGUUAUUUAUUUUGAUGCCUAAGGACCCAUAUUUUGUUGCAGGUUGUGCAAAUUCCAUGUGGUGGAUGGAGUCGCCCACAUUCCUAUUAUCUUGGUGAUGUACCAGAAAUAAAGAACUGCUUUGCAUAUGUUAAGGUUUGUGCCAAUCUAUUUAGAAUUGGUAAUUUCAGAGGCACAAAUAAAAUAAACAUUGUGGAAAGAUACAUCCACGGAGUAGGUCAAAAGUAUUUUUUGUCAUCUGAAAAUACACAUCCAUAAAUGCAUGAUAUGAGUUCCUUUAAUUUUGUGUCAUGAAUUGCUUUGUGAAUUGUUUUGCUGCAAUCAUAUCAUUCUAUCUUUUGUUAAUAUUGAUCGUAUGUUUCAUUUGUUUACUUUGAAAAGAUAAGGUUUCAUUUAAAUUGUAUCUUAACUCUGCACUAUAUUUCUUUGAUUAGUUAGGAUGAAAUCAUUUAUAUUCAUAGGCAGUGGGUGCUUGAUGGUGAAAGGAAGACACUCUCCGGGAAUUUGCAUAUGCAAUUCCAUGGGAGAGAGAUGCAUUCCAUAUGCUUUGUCUCAGGAGGAUUUCAACCUGGAGUAUAUGGGAAGCACAACCUCUUCUCUGCAUCUAGUUGGAUCGCAACUGGGUGUGAAGAUAGAACUGUGAGGUUGACUAGGUACCGUAUGAUUAUAAUUAUUAGCUAUUUAAUAUUUGAAAUUUAAAAAUAAAAUUGUAAAGGGAAAAAUAGUUGAAUUUAUUGUAUAAUUUAAUUGAAUGUAUUUACACUUCUGUUAUCCUUGAGAAUUGAGCUGACAGUAUACAUGCAUGUUGUAGCCUACAUAAAAAUGAAUAUAUGCAUGAUAUUUAUUUAACAUA
Prunus persica (peach) is the source of this 2582-nucleotide RNA transcript. RefSeq lists it as uncharacterized. The record is from RefSeq and is a predicted model, not a curated record. The transcript has 4 exons. NCBI's taxonomy places the organism in Eukaryota, Viridiplantae, Streptophyta, Magnoliopsida, Rosales, Rosaceae.